Molecule: regulatory RNA element, 216 nt
Organism: Pseudomonas sp. 21C1
Lineage: Bacteria; Pseudomonadati; Pseudomonadota; Gammaproteobacteria; Pseudomonadales; Pseudomonadaceae
Rfam family: sucA-II RNA
Source: Rfam
CCACAGCGCUGGUCCUGACCAGCGCUGUGGUUUAUAGCCAAAGUCGUAGCCCACAAAGCCACGGCUUAAUUUGAAAAAUAACGACCAGCAGGGGCAUCCGGGCUGGUACCCGGACUAUCUGCGGAACUCGUGGUGGCUUCAGCAAGUCGCUGCUUUAUGACUGCUAAAGCGCACGCCGAGUCUACGCCGGUGGUGUCCCCUUACCGAGGGUGACCA